GGCGGAUGCUCUACAAGAUUCUACCCAUUUUUAAGUCCUACAAGGUAUGUAUGCGUACUUGUCUCGGUCUUACACAUAAGGGCAUAAAUGAUCUCAAGAUCACACAUCUUAAAAGUGGCAGAGCUUGGAUCUGAAUACGCGCUGGUAUAUCUUCAAAGUCACGAGGUUUUCCAACAUCCGUUGCCGUUGGUAACAGUGGAGAGAGGAGGUGAAUGAUGCACGGAUAUAUGAAGUCACCUCUUUCUGGCCCAGGAACUGGAAUUUAUAGUCCUACAGGCUCAGUCUUCACAUCAAAUAUUUUAUUGAAUUGGAUUUAAACCUCUUCACUGUCUCGUGAACCUGAUGAGGUAAGACCUAGUAAAUGCUUCGUGUUGGCUUUUGUCCCAGCGCAGUGGAUACGAGCACUUUACAGUGAUAAUUUCCUCCUAAUUGGUUGUAACGAAUGCACUGCCAUUCUGGAAUUUGUCACUUACCGAAAUGGACCCUAGCAAAUGGAGCAUGUUCUCCAUCUAAAUGUAAAUUCACACACACUAAAAAACAGCCUGGUGGAGACGCCAGCGAGGUAAAGGGAAAAGGUGACCCCGAAGGACACGCCUGAGUGGGCAGGAGGUGACCUAGUGAGAAGGCCACCUCGCGCUAAAUCCUGUUUGGUUGAGGGAGGAUGGCCAAAAAAGCAGGACUCUAGAAUCCUCUGCGAGAAGUCGGUCUGUGUCUCCCGGGUUAGUCUUUCCUCUUCGUAGAUCUGUUUUCUCCUAAGUGGAAUGCGGAGGCUCGGUCGGGUCUGCGGUUUCCAUGGCGAAUAGUAUUCAAACCACUGGGAGUGAGGGUCCCCCAGGGUGCCUCCAGCCGCCACAUGCUGAGAUCGCACGGCUCCUCCCUGUCUCCAGUGGCCCCAGAUGCACCUGCUCUGAGGGAGCAACAUUGGUCUGUGCCUACAGCCACAACUCCCCAGUGUGGACCACACGUUGCUAAGUGAGCCAGCCCCAGCCGCCAGAGAACUUGUUCCUUGACCCCUCACCUGCUUGCCUCACACCGUCUGGCCUGGCCGUGGCACUGUUGGAAGGAGGGGCCUUCUGCCUCAGUCUCCGGGUCCCAUCCGAAGAAGUCCAAUCUGUUGGGCAGAUAUGGGUGUCGCCCCUCAAGCCCCUGGACGGAGGUGCCGGACUCUAAGCAAAGGCAAGAGAAUGAUCACUUCCCCAACCCAGUGUCAGUUCUCUGCUCAGCGGGACCUCUAACUGUUCUGUGUCCAGACUCACAAAGUUUCUAGUAAAGUUCUCCGUCUUUCACU
Molecule: long non-coding RNA, 1288 nt
Filed under: Felis catus (domestic cat)
Lineage: Eukaryota; Metazoa; Chordata; Mammalia; Carnivora; Felidae
Description: lncRNA (ENSFCAG00000051612.1)
Source: RNAcentral